GAAGAAGAAAAUGAUAAGAUGGGGAGAUAUGGAAGAAGAGAUGAAGAGGGAGUCAGAGUGUGUGAAUCCCGCGCGUAAAAGGUAUUCGGAUCUACCGUGUAACUUUAUUUUUUUUCCAUAGCGCGGAUGACCCUACCAUCCAUCCUUUGGAAUAGAUUUCUUAGCACGGGUCAUGGAGCGAGCCACACCUGAAUAUAGCCACUAUUGUUAGACCCGG
Molecule: long non-coding RNA, 217 nt
Filed under: Setaria italica (foxtail millet)
Lineage: Eukaryota; Viridiplantae; Streptophyta; Magnoliopsida; Poales; Poaceae
Description: long non-coding RNA (SITA_LNC002952)
Source: RNAcentral